UCCGAUAUACAUGUUUAUUUUGAACCAUAUAAUUUUUUUAAUUAAAUUAAACAGAUACAAAAAUUAUAGAAAUUAUUCUUAUUCUAACCAUCUAUAUAAGCAAUACUGUUUGUACAUACAUGUAUAGCACUGGCUAAAUUCACGAAUUGUUGAUUUCACUCACGAUAUUGUCAAUUGUUGCAAUAAAAGGAGUAUUAGCAAAGAACUAAUAUUAAUCAAACUAGUAAGAGAUACUUCAUCACCUCAUUUACGUUAUACACCGGAUAAAUGAUAAAAAUCUUUAAAUUUGUAGCUACUUCUUUCAAGAAAAGUUAUAUUUCAGGUUUUUAGUGUAUUACAUAUUAAACGUCCUGAUCCGAUUCCUUAAAAGUCAUAUUUUAUAGCAUGACUUAUCCACAUUUUUAGCAGCCUUUAGUACAAAGUAAUUGCUACCAUUGAUCUAUAAUUAUCGCGCUUUUGAAAAGUGAAGGUCACAAUUCGAUAUAAGCACUACAACUUUGGUGGCUCUAAUUUAAAAAGUGUUGCACUGGCACAAAUUUUUGUAUGAGAAUUUGUAUUGGAUUGAGGCUUGAUGGGUAUCCAGCACGUUCAAUGCAAGUGCCCUUCACUCCCUAUUAAAUUUUCUGUUUUCAGAAAGACGCCAGCGCUCAUGCCACAGUUUUAAAAGUAUGGUCAUCAAAUUUUGCAUACUUAUUAGAAUUGACCCGCUCUUUCGAAUUCUGGUAUUUAAGGACUGGUAACAUUUGAUCGAAGUUUACUCAAAACGUGAUAAAGGUCUCUUGAUUACGAUAAUCCCAUUCACUUGAAUAUUAAAAUUCUUUUGCCAGUACUCUUUGAAAUUUUGCGACCCACAACACAUUGAAACGUUGCGGAUAAGCAAUUUUACAGAUCGCCAGUGCAUGCACGUAGUAGGUACUUUAGUAAGCUAAUGUUUAAUUACAUAACGUCACAGGCUUAGAAAAUAUGGCUAUCAUGCCAUGGAGCGUAACAAAACAAUGGGGCCGAAGAAAUUCAAGACGGCGGCAUGUACUUGACAAAGGAGCGAUUUUACUUUUUCGACAGACUUGCAUGUGGUGGUCGCUAAACUGAAAAGUUUCUUACUUCUAAACAUAGGAGAAUAACUCAGUGAAACUUGUUGAUGUAACCGGCAAGCAUCUUUUUCAUUGCCGUCAUGAUCAAUUUAAUAGUGCAGCAGACUUAAAUAGAGAAGACGUUUGUCAACGCUGGAUAGAAUUAUACUAAGAUCAAGUGUUUUAAUUCCCUCUCGAAUCUCUUUCAGAAGUAAAACAUGCAAUGCAAUCUUGGAGGAAGUCAUUUAAAGUUCCUAAAAUUGUGACUGGCUGCUUUUUUAAGUAUUGCUCUCUUUUAAUUGUACCUUUGAAAGGCCUGUGAAAUGCCUAACUCGUCUCUGUUGUCUCAACUACGUAUAUCUGUGACUCGAUCGAUGGUUUGUAUACAUGUUCAAUAUUAAAAAGGAUCAGCGCGAAAUUGUUAGGAAGGGUAUCGGAGUGUAUAUAAAGGAAAAAGUUGUUACCAAAUUUUUGCAUUUUUUUUUAAAUCUGCCUUUUCAACUGUUUUCCAUUGUCGUAUAUUUAAAAUAUACAUAAUACCAACAUGGUGUUCAACUCUAUUAAAUUUGCCCAAAAGGGCGAUCUUGGUCGUGCAACGGUUCCUUGUGUUUAAAAUUAAUUGUUCAUAAUUUAAUUAAAAUAAUUAUCUAGCAUUUACCCCCAACUCCCAAGGUGUCUCGAUAUUGAUUCCGAAAAAUUGGGUCUUUGUGACAACUUUGAUUUUUUGCGCAAUUUAUUUAUUUUAUUAUUUUAUAAAUUCGUUUAGAUUUGGUAAUUAUAGAGCGUUUGCACUCAUUCCCCAGGGACCAACUCAACAAAAUCCAUGGUGGCCAUGUUGGUUUUCCAGACAAAAGAAUUUAAUUAAAUUAUUUUGAAUUGGAAUACCAACAUGGUGGCUGUGACGUCGUGUGCAAACGCUCUAUAGCCACUCAAUUUUUGACACGAAACGUGAAAUUAGUGUUUUCUCAGCCCCGCUCGUCCCUGUAGAUAUUUAGAAGCUGCUAGCCAAAUACCAUUUGGCUUUCUAAGAAUGGGUUAUUCGUUUCAAAUUUAAAAGCUGCCGGUGAGCAUUGGAUGCAUGCAAUGAUAAAUUGAUAAUUUGAAACAAAAUUUUAUAAACAAACAGAAAAUUGGGAAUGGCCAUGCAAAACCAAAAAUUAUAAAGACCGCUUUCCUUGAACCUUGCCAUGCCUGUGACGCUUUCCAAUAGAGAUUAUGCAUUUCAUUAACUAUAAAUCAUUCUAAAAGCUAUCACACUAAAAAUUAUUACCGGAACGUAGCUACUAAAUAGUUUGAUGCUGCAUAUACAACAAUAAAACAAUUAUAAAUCAAUCACUAAAUGAAAGAAAAGUUUGAAUUAAACGUUCAGUAUUGAAAUAACUUUUAACAGAACUUUGCGACUGUUUAUAUAUAUGGAAGCUGGACUGGCCCACUUUGAGCAGCCACGCAGGUAAGCGAGAACUAGACGCGUAGACAUGUAAUUAUUUUCAUAGUACAAUAUUGCGUUUAUACGAACCUAUGCAACUUAGACCUAUGUAAGUAUAGUUAGUCUUGUUAUAAAAGUUAUGUUUAACUUAUAGAAAAAGGUUAGCAAAUUUUCAAAAUCAUGUGUAAAAAAAGCCCCUUUAUAAUGUAUAUAUAUUUUACUAUUUUGACACUAACGUAUAACGGACUUUCAUGCUUGUUCGUCAUUUAAAUGUUAAAGCAGCGUGGAUUAUUAUCGAUUAUUAUUAUUAUUUUAAUAGAGGUAAGGUAUAUUGAAAUAAAUUUAAAAUAAACAGUACAAAAUAAUGAUAUACGACUUCAACACUGAACUCAAACUCUUUCACAUUUCUAUUAAUUGAAUACUUAAGAAAACGUGAUUAAAUAUUCUGGAUAAUAUUGAUUAUCAUAAAACAUAACAAAGAUUGUGGGAGUAUUUACGUUGUUGACGACGGAAUCGUAGGAAUCAUUGCUAUUACCUCCUUUGGUUGGGGGCACCAGCAUUGAUGAGUUACCGACGGUGUAUUGCCCAACCGCAACCCUUGCCACAUACAUAAAUCUCUUUGACGUCGUCGGGUCUACCUUAGCGUAACCAGUGGACAUUUGAGCAUCCCUUGCAAAAUAAACACCUUUACCAAAAGCAAUUCC
RNAcentral lists this long non-coding RNA (3200 nucleotides) under Paramuricea clavata. The record is from RNAcentral. Lineage: Eukaryota; Metazoa; Cnidaria; Anthozoa; Malacalcyonacea; Plexauridae.